RNAcentral lists this ribosomal RNA (2926 nucleotides) under Escherichia marmotae. RNAcentral's name for it is "bacterial LSU rRNA". It matches the Rfam family "Bacterial large subunit ribosomal RNA". The record is from RNAcentral. Lineage: Bacteria; Pseudomonadati; Pseudomonadota; Gammaproteobacteria; Enterobacterales; Enterobacteriaceae.
GGGUUGUGAGGUUAAGCGACUAAGCGUACACGGUGGAUGCCCUGGCAGUCAGAGGCGAUGAAGGACGUGCUAAUCUGCGAUAAGCGUCGGUAAGGUGAUAUGAACCGUUAUAACCGGCGAUUUCCGAAUGGGGAAACCCAGUGUGAUCCGUCACACUAUCAUUAACUGAAUCCAUAGGUUAAUGAGGCGAACCGGGGGAACUGAAACAUCUAAGUACCCCGAGGAAAAGAAAUCAACCGAGAUUCCCCCAGUAGCGGCGAGCGAACGGGGAGGAGCCCAGAGCCUGAAUCAGUAUGUGUGUUAGUGGAAGCGUCUGGAAAGGCGUGCGAUACAGGGUGACAGCCCCGUACACAAAAAUGCACAUGCUGUGAGCUCGAUGAGUAGGGCGGGACACGUGGUAUCCUGUCUGAAUAUGGGGGGACCAUCCUCCAAGGCUAAAUACUCCUGACUGACCGAUAGUGAACCAGUACCGUGAGGGAAAGGCGAAAAGAACCCCGGCGAGGGGAGUGAAAAAGAACCUGAAACCGUGUACGUACAAGCAGUGGGAGCCUCUUUAAUGGGGUGACUGCGUACCUUUUGUAUAAUGGGUCAGCGACUUAUAUUCUGUAGCAAGGUUAACCGAAUAGGGGAGCCGAAGGGAAACCGAGUCUUAACUGGGCGUUAAGUUGCAGGGUAUAGACCCGAAACCCGGUGAUCUAGCCAUGGGCAGGUUGAAGGUUGGGUAACACUAACUGGAGGACCGAACCGACUAAUGUUGAAAAAUUAGCGGAUGACUUGUGGCUGGGGGUGAAAGGCCAAUCAAACCGGGAGAUAGCUGGUUCUCCCCGAAAGCUAUUUAGGUAGCGCCUCGUGAAUUCAUCUCCGGGGGUAGAGCACUGUUUCGGCAAGGGGGUCAUCCCGACUUACCAACCCGAUGCAAACUGCGAAUACCGGAGAAUGUUAUCACGGGAGACACACGGCGGGUGCUAACGUCCGUCGUGAAGAGGGAAACAACCCAGACCGCCAGCUAAGGUCCCAAAGUCAUGGUUAAGUGGGAAACGAUGUGGGAAGGCCCAGACAGCCAGGAUGUUGGCUUAGAAGCAGCCAUCAUUUAAAGAAAGCGUAAUAGCUCACUGGUCGAGUCGGCCUGCGCGGAAGAUGUAACGGGGCUAAACCAUGCACCGAAGCUGCGGCAGCGACACUAUGUGUUGUUGGGUAGGGGAGCGUUCUGUAAGCCGUUGAAGGUGUGCUGUGAGGCAUGCUGGAGGUAUCAGAAGUGCGAAUGCUGACAUAAGUAACGAUAAAGCGGGUGAAAAGCCCGCUCGCCGGAAGACCAAGGGUUCCUGUCCAACGUUAAUCGGGGCAGGGUGAGUCGACCCCUAAGGCGAGGCCGAAAGGCGUAGUCGAUGGGAAACAGGUUAAUAUUCCUGUACUUGGUGUUACUGCGAAGGGGGGACGGAGAAGGCUAUGUUGGCCGGGCGACGGUUGUCCCGGUUUAAGCGUGUAGGCUGAUUUUCCAGGCAAAUCCGGAGAAUCAAGGCUGAGGCGUGAUGACGAGGCACUACGGUGCUGAAGCAACAAAUGCCCUGCUUCCAGGAAAAGCCUCUAAGCAUCAGGUAACAUCAAAUCGUACCCCAAACCGACACAGGUGGUCAGGUAGAGAAUACCAAGGCGCUUGAGAGAACUCGGGUGAAGGAACUAGGCAAAAUGGUGCCGUAACUUCGGGAGAAGGCACGCUGAUAUGUAGGUGAAGCGACUUGCUCGUGGAGCUGAAAUCAGUCGAAGAUACCAGCUGGCUGCAACUGUUUAUUAAAAACACAGCACUGUGCAAACACGAAAGUGGACGUAUACGGUGUGACGCCUGCCCGGUGCCGGAAGGUUAAUUGAUGGGGUCAGCCGCAAGGCGAAGCUCUUGAUCGAAGCCCCGGUAAACGGCGGCCGUAACUAUAACGGUCCUAAGGUAGCGAAAUUCCUUGUCGGGUAAGUUCCGACCUGCACGAAUGGCGUAAUGAUGGCCAGGCUGUCUCCACCCGAGACUCAGUGAAAUUGAACUCGCUGUGAAGAUGCAGUGUACCCGCGGCAAGACGGAAAGACCCCGUGAACCUUUACUAUAGCUUGACACUGAACAUUGAGCCUUGAUGUGUAGGAUAGGUGGGAGGCUUUGAAGUGUGGACGCCAGUCUGCAUGGAGCCGACCUUGAAAUACCACCCUUUAAUGUUUGAUGUUCUAACGUGGACCCGUGAUCCGGGUUGCGGACAGUGUCUGGUGGGUAGUUUGACUGGGGCGGUCUCCUCCUAAAGAGUAACGGAGGAGCACGAAGGUUGGCUAAUCCUGGUCGGACAUCAGGAGGUUAGUGCAAUGGCAUAAGCCAGCUUGACUGCGAGCGUGACGGCGCGAGCAGGUGCGAAAGCAGGUCAUAGUGAUCCGGUGGUUCUGAAUGGAAGGGCCAUCGCUCAACGGAUAAAAGGUACUCCGGGGAUAACAGGCUGAUACCGCCCAAGAGUUCAUAUCGACGGCGGUGUUUGGCACCUCGAUGUCGGCUCAUCACAUCCUGGGGCUGAAGUAGGUCCCAAGGGUAUGGCUGUUCGCCAUUUAAAGUGGUACGCGAGCUGGGUUUAGAACGUCGUGAGACAGUUCGGUCCCUAUCUGCCGUGGGCGCUGGAGAACUGAGGGGGGCUGCUCCUAGUACGAGAGGACCGGAGUGGACGCAUCACUGGUGUUCGGGUUGUCAUGCCAAUGGCACUGCCCGGUAGCUAAAUGCGGAAGAGAUAAGUGCUGAAAGCAUCUAAGCACGAAACUUGCCCCGAGAUGAGUUCUCCCUGAGACUUUAAGUCUCCUGAAGGAACGUUGAAGACGACGACGUUGAUAGGCCGGGUGUGUAAGCGCAGCGAUGCGUUGAGCUAACCGGUACUAAUGAACCGUGAGGCUUAACCUUACAACGCCGAAG